RNAcentral lists this ribosomal RNA (532 nucleotides) under uncultured bacterium. RNAcentral describes it as "bacterial SSU rRNA". It matches the Rfam family "Bacterial small subunit ribosomal RNA", at positions 772 to 1304 of the family's 1533-position model. The record is from RNAcentral.
ACUGAAUAGAUACCCAGGUAGUCCACGCAGGUAAACGAGUGAUUACUAGCUGUUUGCGAUACACAGUAAAGCGGCACAGCGAAAGCGUUAAGUAAUCCACCUGGGGAGUACGCCGGCAACGGUGAAACUCAAAGGAAUUGACGGGGGCCCGCACAAGCGGAGGAACAUGUGGUUUAAUUCGAUGAUACGCGAGGAACCUUACCCGGGUUUGAACGUAGGGAGACAGGGGUGGAAACAUCCUUUCAGCAAUGACUGCCUACGAGGUGCUGCAUGGUUGUCGUCAGCUCGUGCCGUGAGGUGUCGGCUUAAGUGCCAUAACGAGCGCAACCCUUAUUUCCAGUUACUAACAGGUGAUGCUGAGGACUCUGGGGGAGACUGCCAGCGUAAGCUGUGAGGAAGGUGGGGAUGACGUCAAAUCAGCACGGCCCUUACAUCCGGGGUCGACACACGUGUUACAAUGGUAAGGACAAAGGGUCAGCUACCGGGCGACCGGAUGCGAAUCUCUAAACCUUAUCUCAGUUCGGAUCGGAGU